AAAUGGCAGUGCACUUUAGUGAAGAUUAAAAAAUGCUAAUAUAUUGGGACAAAGAGAGGGUUACAAAUCACAUUAUGCUGUUUACGGCCAUUGACUCAUAUAUCCAGUUGCUAAUUGUUAUUCAUUACACUUAUAUCUACAGCACGGGCACAUUUUCGAUGUAUUGCUAGCAAAAUAAAAACGUUAAAUUGUCUAUGAAGCCCUCAUUGCAUUGUUUCAUGCGGUUGGACCAAAUAAAAUUCAGCAGUGAAAGGGUUAAAGUGCAGGGUUUCCGCAGGCUGCGGCGCUCGGCCUAUUGCAGACGGGCACGACUGUCUUUCCUUAUAAGGCAAUGAGUGCAAAUCGGCGGUGAAAUAUCACACGAAAUGAACGACCAUUGCACAUUCACACUUCUAUUUGCUCCAAGUCCUCACUUUCAGAAGCACGCGGACUGUCAACGCAUCCAUUAUUCUUCCUCACUGGCUCGCUCUCUGGGGCUCGCGCGCAGAAGCAGCCCCCCUGCGCAGCGCCAUGCGUAGGGUCUGCUAAUUCAGCUGCGUCAUUCCUAAAUUAACGACGAGCAAAAGAAACACGGUGCUCAAUUAGAAGCUAAGGGCUUGGUGGAAGAUAUAACUCUCAAGAAAAACUAGCCGGGAAGCUUUCAUCAGGCGGCCGUAAUGUCACCUGUCUGCUGCUCACCCCACCGCACAACAUGAUGCUUUCACACACUGUUCAGAUAUGUUGUUUAGGGUGAUCAGAUAUUACAUCUAAGCGGUGGGACAAUGGCUUACGGUGCCAAAAGUUGACAUACAGAGCGCGCACGCGACAGUUUUGUCUAAAUGUUAAGAGCUUUGGAACAUGGCACGUGCUCCCGGGGAGGAUGGAAUGUGAUGUAGCACGUGCGUGUGUUAGUAAUGGCACCGUGCUCACAGAAACUUCACCUGAGCAGCACGCACAACCCCGCUCACAGUCCGCAGGGCAUUAGGCACGACACUUUUAAGAACGGGAUAAACGAAAAAUCAGCUCAAACAGAGAUGUUCAGCUCCAAAGCAGCCGGUGUUUGGGCAGCUGUUCAAAGCACGAUUCACUUCAUGAUAUGUCGAUGUAAAAUGAAGCACCGUGUACAGGGAAAUUAUUUAAACCAAAACGUGACGCACAGAAGCGAACAAACAGGUCUGGUGUAUUUUGAUUACACUACUAAAAAAUUCUGAGCGCAUUCGUCUUUAUCUACACCUGAUCUCCUCCUCAGCGACAUUGUGAAGGGAGGAAAGAAGAUAAGGAUGACAUUACUGUAAGGAGGAGUGAAACACAAAGAUAAAAGAAAUUGAUUUUCUCUCUCUCUCUCUGUCAGAGGAGGGUUUGAGACAGCUGCGUUAAACGCAUCACAUACUGACACAGAGCAUCGUUUACACUACAUGUGUUGUGCUGGAAAGAAACACAAAAGCACGUUGUUUCAGCCAAGACACAAAGAGGAACUGAAGAGCGUUAGCGUUAGUGAAGGGCUGUUAAAUGGGCUUUUUGCUGCACAUACAGGGAGGAGCAGCAGCUGGUGAACACGAGAGCUGAUGUUUAUGGACAAAAAUACUUGGAUCCAUGGAUCCGAUGACGCCACUGCUCUCCCUGUAAGUGAGGACAUCUGAUUAAGAUGACAUUUCCACGUAGGAAAUAAUGACGCUCUGUCUGCGUCACAGCGCCGGAGUGCAGAUCGAAUGACAGCAGAGGAAAAACAGGAGGACGGAGGGGAGACAAGGUGUCACGAAACAAUGUCCAGUGGAAAGGAUGUGAUUAAUAACAGUACAUAUUUCCUCAUAAGGAAAGCAGAAAUAUAGACAUGUAGUUCCAAAUCAGCAAGAAUGUUUAACCUCAGAAGAAAGAACUGGAGAGGAGACUCACUUUGUCUGAAGCAUGAAGCUUCUUAGAGUCUUCUGACUGUUGUGAUUCAUUAAGAACGGAAUUUACUGAGGUGGCAUUUAAUAAUUCUAAAUGAAAAGAUUUUCUGUUAUCAAACAUCUGUUAUAGUCCCCUACACGACAGUUUUUACUGCAAACAAGUGGGUUCAAAGCACUGCCAACUAAGUGUUGGUAAAGGAAACUCUUUCUUGGUACUAAAGGCUUUCAUAUAAUUGAAUCAACUGAAAGGUUUCUGGCAGGAAAGCAGCUGACCACAGACAUCCUGACGGAGUACCUGCUGUAAAUGAAAGGAUAAUGGAGUCUGUUAUGUAAACCAAAUCAUUCCAGCCUUUUCAAAAUUUCCAAAUGUUCAUAUUUUGACAUCAGCUGAAAGACUGCAUAUUCCUCUGUGGCUUUGGAAAAUCUGACUUGCCAUGUUUCUUUUAAUGAAACCUUUUCAAAACCUGUUCGAUAAACUCUCACCUGGGAGCGAGAGUGUUUCUCGAGCAGCUCCUGAACAUUUGGCAGUUUAAGAUGAUAAUACACCGAGUGGAGUGGCCUUAAUGUUAAAGCAUUAGAACGGUGCAGAGGUUCCAGUUGUGGUUCGUCAUGGUCACACCUGAGCAGCCCAAACUGUCAUCACCCCAUCUCACUGUAAAGUUUAUUUUCAGCGGGGACUCACAACCACUGCUUCAGCUUUUUUUUACAAAGAUCAAACAAGUGAGUCACCGCUGCUCUGCCGGCAGGUCUUAAUGCACCUUUAACUACAGCUCAUUUUAUUGGUUUUGGUAACAGUAAAGAGAGAGAAACGGAGAACUGGAUUAAUAAUGUUGUAAAACAAAGAGAUACUUGAAAUUGUAAAGAAAAGGCACACCAAGUCUCUUAAUCUUUCUAACACAGCACGUGUCGUAGAUUUCCUCAUUAAAGAUACUUUCACCGUU
Long non-coding RNA from Siniperca chuatsi (mandarin fish), 2809 nucleotides. RefSeq lists it as uncharacterized. The transcript is spliced from 2 exons. Lineage: Eukaryota; Metazoa; Chordata; Actinopteri; Centrarchiformes; Sinipercidae. The record is from RefSeq and is a predicted model, not a curated record.